RNAcentral lists this ribosomal RNA (464 nucleotides) under uncultured bacterium. Its description in RNAcentral is "partial 16S ribosomal RNA". It matches the Rfam family "Bacterial small subunit ribosomal RNA", at positions 339 to 795 of the family's 1533-position model. The record is from RNAcentral.
CUACGGGGGGCUGCAGUGAGGAAUUUUGCGCAAUGGGGGAAACCCUGACGCAGCAACGCCGCGUGAGCGAAGAAGGCCUUCGGGUCGUAAAGCUCUGUCAAGUGGGAAAAAAAUUCUUUGAUGAACAGUCAAAGGACUUGAUGGUACCACUGGAGGAAGCACCGGCUAACACCGUGCCAGCAGCCGCGGUAAUACGGAGGGUGCAAGCGUUGUUCGGAAUUACUGGGCGUAAAGAGCGUGUAGGCGGUUUGACAAGUCAGAUGUGAAAGCCCCGGGCUCAACCCGGGAAGUGCAUUUGAAACUGUUUCGCUAGAGUAUGGGAGAGGGGAUUGGAAUUCCUGGUGUAGAGGUGAAAUUCGUAGAUAUCAGGAGGAACACCCGUGGCGAAGGCGAUUCUCUGGACCAAUACUGACGCUGAGACGCGAAAGCGUGGGGAGCAAACAGGAUUAGAUACCCUAGUAGUC